Molecule: regulatory RNA element, 56 nt
Organism: Streptomyces sp. ERV7
Lineage: Bacteria; Bacillati; Actinomycetota; Actinomycetes; Kitasatosporales; Streptomycetaceae
Rfam family: L17-Actino-Proteobacteria ribosomal protein leader
Source: Rfam
CCGGCCCGCACUAGCGGGUCGGUAACUGACACCGGUACCUGACACGGCCGGUGCAG